GAUGAACGCUGGCGGCGUGCCUAAUACACGCAAGUCGAGCGAACGGACGAGAAGCUUGCUUCUCUGAUGUUAGCGGCGGACGGGUGAGCAACACGUGGAUAACCUACCUAUAAGACUGGGAUAACUUCGGGAAACCGGAGCUAAUACCGGAUAAUAUUUUGAACCGCAUGGUUCAAAAGUGAAAGACGGUCUUGCUGUCACUUAUAGAUGGAUCCGCGCUGCAUUAGCUAGUUGGUAAGGUAACGGCUUACCAAGGCAACGAUGCAUAGCCGACCUGAGAGGGUGAUCGGCCACACUGGAACUGAGACACGGUCCAGACUCCUACGGGAGGCAGCAGUAGGGAAUCUUCCGCAAUGGGCGAAAGCCUGACGGAGCAACGCCGCGUGAGUGAUGAAGGUCUUCGGAUCGUAAAACUCUGUUAUUAGGGAAGAACAUAUGUGUAAGUAACUGUGCACAUCUUGACGGUACCUAAUCAGAAAGCCACGGCUAACUACGUGCCAGCAGCCGCGGUAAUACGUAGGUGGCAAGCGUUAUCCGGAAUUAUUGGGCGUAAAGCGCGCGUAGGCGGUUUUUUAAGUCUGAUGUGAAAGCCCACGGCUCAACCGUGGAGGGUCAUUGGAAACUGGAAAACUUGAGUGCAGAAGAGGAAAGUGGAAUUCCAUGUGUAGCGGUGAAAUGCGCAGAGAUAUGGAGGAACACCAGUGGCGAAGGCGACUUUCUGGUCUGUAACUGACGCUGAUGUGCGAAAGCGUGGGGAUCAAACAGGAUUAGAUACCCUGGUAGUCCACGCCGUAAACGAUGAGUGCUAAGUGUUAGGGGGUUUCCGCCCCUUAGUGCUGCAGCUAACGCAUUAAGCACUCCGCCUGGGGAGUACGACCGCAAGGUUGAAACUCAAAGGAAUUGACGGGGACCCGCACAAGCGGUGGAGCAUGUGGUUUAAUUCGAAGCAACGCGAAGAACCUUACCAAAUCUUGACAUCCUUUGACAACUCUAGAGAUAGAGCUUUCCCCUUCGGGGGACAAAGUGACAGGUGGUGCAUGGUUGUCGUCAGCUCGUGUCGUGAGAUGUUGGGUUAAGUCCCGCAACGAGCGCAACCCUUAAGCUUAGUUGCCAUCAUUAAGUUGGGCACUCUAAGUUGACUGCCGGUGACAAACCGGAGGAAGGUGGGGAUGACGUCAAAUCAUCAUGCCCCUUAUGAUUUGGGCUACACACGUGCUACAAUGGACAAUACAAAGGGCAGCGAAACCGCGAGGUCAAGCAAAUCCCAUAAAGUUGUUCUCAGUUCGGAUUGUAGUCUGCAACUCGACUACAUGAAGCUGGAAUCGCUAGUAAUCGUAGAUCAGCAUGCUACGGUGAAUACGUUCCCGGGUCU
Molecule: ribosomal RNA, 1372 nt
Filed under: uncultured bacterium
Lineage: Bacteria
Description: bacterial SSU rRNA
Rfam family: Bacterial small subunit ribosomal RNA
Source: RNAcentral